UACGAAGGGGGCUAGCGUUGCUCGGAAUCACUGGGCGUAAAGCGCACGUAGGCGGCUUUUUAAGUCAGGGGUGAAAUCCUGGAGCUCAACUCCAGAACUGCCUUUGAUACUGAGAAGCUUGAGUCCGGGAGAGGUGAGUGGAACUGCGAGUGUAGAGGUGAAAUUCGUAGAUAUUCGCAAGAACACCAGUGGCGAAGGCGGCUCACUGGCCCGGUACUGACGCUGAGGUGACGAAGCGUGGGAG
This 244-nucleotide ribosomal RNA is filed under the name uncultured bacterium. Its description in RNAcentral is "partial 16S ribosomal RNA". It matches the Rfam family "Bacterial small subunit ribosomal RNA", at positions 524 to 767 of the family's 1533-position model. The record is from RNAcentral.